RNAcentral lists this ribosomal RNA (429 nucleotides) under Pseudomonadota bacterium. Its description in RNAcentral is "Proteobacteria bacterium partial 16S ribosomal RNA". It matches the Rfam family "Bacterial small subunit ribosomal RNA", at positions 355 to 776 of the family's 1533-position model. Lineage: Bacteria; Pseudomonadati; Pseudomonadota. The record is from RNAcentral.
UGGGGAAUAUUGGACAAUGGGCGAAAGCCUGAUCCAGCCAUGCCGCGUGUGUAAAGAAGGUCUUCGGAUUGUAAAGCACUUUAAGUUGGGAGGAAGGGCAGUAAGCGAAUACCUUGCUGUUUUGACGUUACCGACAGAAUAAGCACCGGCUAACUCUGUGCCAGCAGCCGCGGUAAUACAGAGGGUGCAAGCGUUAAUCGGAAUUACUGGGCGUAAAGCGCGCGUAGGUGGUUCGUUAAGUUGAAUGUGAAAGCCCCGGGCUCAACCUGGGAACUGCAUCCAAAACUGGCGAGCUAGAGUAGGGCAGAGGGUGGUGGAAUUUCCUGUGUAGCGGUGAAAUGCGUAGAUAUAGGAAGGAACACCAGUGGCGAAGGCGACCACCUGGGCUCAUACUGACACUGAGGUGCGAAAGCGUGGGGAGCAAACAGG